This 438-nucleotide ribosomal RNA is filed under the name uncultured bacterium. RNAcentral describes it as "partial 16S ribosomal RNA". It matches the Rfam family "Bacterial small subunit ribosomal RNA", at positions 339 to 795 of the family's 1533-position model. The record is from RNAcentral.
CUACGGGACGCAGCAGUGAGGAAUAUUGCACAAUGGGGGGAACCCUGAUGCAGCAACGCCGCGUGGAGGAUGACGCAUUCGGUGUGUAAACUCCUUUUAUAUGUCAAGAAAAUGACGGUAGCAUAUGAAUAAGCACCGGCUAACUCCGUGCCAGCAGCCGCGGUAAUACGGAGGGUGCAAGCGUUACUCGGAAUCACUGGGCGUAAAGGACGCGUAGGCGGGUUGGAAAGUCAGGUGUGAAAUCCUACAGCUUAACUGUAGAACUGCACUUGAAACUUCUAAUCUAGAGUAUGGGAGGGGGAGAUGGAAUUAGUGGUGUAGGGGUAAAAUCCGUAGAUAUCACUAGGAAUACCUAAAGCGAAGGCGAUCUCCUGGAACAUUACUGACGCUAAGGCGUGAAAGCGUGGGGAGCAAACAGGAUUAGAUACCCCGGUAGUC